GAUGAACGCUGGCGGCGUGCCUAAUACAUGCAAGUCGAGCGAACAGACGAGGAGCUUGCUCCUCUGACGUUAGCGGCGAACGGGUGAGUAACACGUGGAUAACCUACCUCUAAGACUGGGAUAACUUCGGGAAACCGGAGCUAAUACCGGAUAAUAUAUUGAACCGCAUGGUUCAAUCGUGAAAGAAGGUUUUGCUGUCACUUAUCGCUGGAUCCGCGCCGCAUUAGCUAGUUGGUAAGGUAACGGCCUACCAAGGCAACAAUGCGUAGCCGACCUGAGAGGGGGAUCGGCCACACGGGAACUGAGACACGGACCAGACUCCUGAGGGAGGCAGCAGUAGGGAAUCGGACGCAAUAGGCGAGAGCUUGACGGAGCGACGCCGCGCGAGAGACAGAGGUCUUGGGUGCGUAAAACUCGGUUAUGAGGUAAGAACAAAUGUGUACGGAACUAUACACGUCGUGACGGUACCUAAUCAGAAAGCCACGGCUAACUACGUG
Molecule: ribosomal RNA, 497 nt
Filed under: uncultured bacterium
Lineage: Bacteria
Description: partial 16S ribosomal RNA
Rfam family: Bacterial small subunit ribosomal RNA
Source: RNAcentral